Long non-coding RNA from Macadamia integrifolia, 294 nucleotides. RefSeq lists it as uncharacterized. The record is from RefSeq and is a predicted model, not a curated record. The transcript is spliced from 3 exons. NCBI's taxonomy places the organism in Eukaryota, Viridiplantae, Streptophyta, Magnoliopsida, Proteales, Proteaceae.
AGAGAGGAAAGAAGAGAGAGCCCAGUUGAAACUGUACGAGAAAUCUUCACCUCAGAGACAGAGAUCGAUUAGCUUAACAAAGUUCUGGUUUCGAAUAGUUUGGAACUCGCACAGAGAGAGGAGAGAAGAAGAAACAGGAGCUCGCCCCCUUGUGAAAUCUCCUCUGCAGAGCAGGUAUUGGGACAAAUUUUAGGGUUUUUCUAGACCCCCUAUACAGAGAGGUAACGUCUUCUUCUUCUCUUCUAUUUCGUCUUCUUCUCUUCUAUUUCUUCUUCUUCUCCUUUGCUUCCUGAA